RNAcentral lists this ribosomal RNA (301 nucleotides) under uncultured bacterium. Its description in RNAcentral is "partial 16S ribosomal RNA". It matches the Rfam family "Bacterial small subunit ribosomal RNA", at positions 509 to 807 of the family's 1533-position model. The record is from RNAcentral.
CAGUCGCCGCGGUAACACGUAGGGUGCGAGCGUUAAUCGGAAUUACUGGGCGUAAAGCGUGCGCAGGCGGUUUUGUAAGACAGGCGUGAAAUCCCCGGGCUCAACCUGGGAAUGGCGCUUGUGACUGCAAAGCUGGAGUGCGGCAGAGGGGGAUGGAAUUCCGCGUGUAGCAGUGAAAUGCGUAGAUAUGCGGAGGAACACCGAUGGCGAAGGCAAUCCCCUGGGCCUGCACUGACGCUCAUGCACGAAAGCGUGGGGAGCAAACAGGAUUAGAUACCCGUGUAGUCCCUGUCUCUUAUAC